GCAUCGAUAGUUAAGGGGCAAAGUAGUGGGACGGUACCCCAUAUAGCCCGGGUGCGAGCCCCAGUCGAUGCA
Phthorimaea operculella (potato tuberworm) is the source of this 72-nucleotide non-coding RNA. The record is from the annotation of a GenBank genome assembly. Lineage: Eukaryota; Metazoa; Arthropoda; Insecta; Lepidoptera; Gelechiidae.